UCUCUCUCUCUCCCAAUCUGCUUCACUCGCCAAACCUCUUUUCUUCGCCGGAACCCUAGGUCCGCUCCAUCAGCUUGAAUUUUCCGGUAAGUUUAACCUUCUUGACCACCGACGCAACGGAUGUGAGAGGAAAGAUAGUAUUGACGAGUUUGAUAUUGUUUUGGUGGAGCAGUAGAUGAACGUGCGAUUAGGGAACAUCUGAGGUCGGUUUUCGUCGCCGAAUGGAGGGAGGAAUAGCCCCAUGGAUUAUGAUGACAGUGACUUUCAAAACCACAAUCUCCAUUUAGCUGGUGAAGCUAACACUAAGUUUCCUCCGGUGUCUCUUCCAAGGUUUGAUUUUGACGAGAGGUUUGAUAGUUUAGUCGAAACUGAGGUUUUCUUGGUAUUGAGGGUAACGAAGAUAGUAACUGGAUUGAGGAUUUCUCUCGUGGAAGUAGUGGUGUAGUGUUUAGCUCAGCUGCAACAGAGUCUUGUGCCAUUUCUAGGCAUACUAAUGUUUGGUCUGAGGCUACUUCGUCAGAAUCCGUUGAAAUGCUUUUGAAUUCAGUUGGACAGGAGGACCAAGUCAUUGUAAGAGAGAAAGAUAAUUCUAUCAAGACUUCGGAUGAGCUAGGCUGCACAAUGGAUCAAUUGGAGCCUGGUCAGACAAACCUUGAGACUAUUCUUUCCAAAGAGGAAACUCCCAUCAACCCUUCUGUGGAUGAUACUCCAGGAGACUCCUCCUCUGUGUGCAAGACAGAUGCUGGACAGGAACAGGUCCCGCUGAAAGAUGACUCACCAACUCUUGUGCAGGAGGAGUCGGAAGAUAAUGCCAUUUUGGCUUCAAAUACAGCGGCUGUGCCUGUAGAGGUUGUGGAUACUGCUUGUCAUGAUAAGAUAGGGACUGAGACAACGGAUAGUCUUCUUGACCAAACCGUUGCGGAAAAUAAUGCAGUUUUAGCUCAUGUGAGUUCUGCUGGUCUUGAUUCGAUAGGAACUGAGACGACUGACAGUGUUCAUAACCAAACCGUUACGGAAGAGGCAUCCAUGGAGGAAAACAGUGUCGUUUUACCUUCAGAUACCGGGACUGUAGAGGCUGUGGAUACUGGUGGUCAUGGUAAGAUAAGAACUGAGACUACUUAUAGUCUUCUUGACCAAACACAAGACGAAGCCAACACAGAAUCAAGGAUGGAAAUUGAUUGUAGCCACGGAACUGUACAGACUGGGGUUUCUGCUAGUGGUGAGUUGAAUAAUCAGACCACUUUGCUUCCAGAGGUUUUCAAUGAUGAAAAUGAUAUCAGCGACCACACUGCUAAGUCUGAUUUGAAGGAUAUGGAGCUAUCUGAUGUCACGGUACUAGAAAGAGGGGACCAAGCUCUCUCUGCUCUUGAGGUAGCUGAACCAGACGUUUCAGGGACCCAAUGCCAAGAUCUUCCUGUCAGCAGUGCGAAUACCAGCGCAACUGUUGAAGCAUCUUUGGAACUCACUGGGGUAUUACCAAAUAUAACAAGCAGUGAACAUGAAUCUACUUUUCAGACUGAGACACAUACAGAGAUACUUCGAGUUGAGACUUCAGAAAGUGUUAAUGUUUCACAAAUGGACUCAAUGGUUGAAUGCACAGAUGGUGAUGUGUCUAAUAAGGGUGACAAUAAGGAAGGUAGUGCUCGCAUAUCUUAUCUCAAACAAAGCAUGGAAUUAGCUGUCAAUGCCAAUGAUAGAGAUCAGGAUGCCAAGAGCUCUCAAGUCUUAUCUGAAAGCUUUGUAUCCGAGUCUGUUCGUUAUGUUUCAAGAGACUCUGCAUCCAAGCUGUUGGAGUCAAAUUCUCAGUCUGACACCAUUCCAAAAGAAAAUCCAGGGACUAUGAUUGACAUUAAAGAAUGUAAAGCCUUUCCUCUCAAACCUGAAGAAUCGCAACAUCUAAGCCAAGAUGGAGCUUCUGCUGUCAGUCUUACAUCUUCAGUAGAUUUACAUAUGGUGACUACAUCAUCUGAGGCUAAUGAGCAAGUCAAUUUCUCUGUAACCGAGAAGGUUUUAUCUGGCGAACCUGAAAAUUGCCAAACUGUUUCACCUGUGGAAGCAAGUAAUUCCGGGAUUCAUAUUGCACAACAACCUAGCAAGCAUACUGAAGAUACUCAGCAAAGUACACAAUUUUUCGAUGGUUGUCCUACCUCUGAAGGGGCAAAGGAUGCAGUAGAUGCUGAUGCCGCUGGACAAGUUUUGCCUCAGCAGUGCGAGGAAACAAUUUUAGAAAAAAAUCUAACAGAAGUUGUAGACGUCCCUGAGACUCGGUCAAUUCUGGACAAGGAUGCCUUAAAUGAAAACCCUAAAGCUAGCUCCUUGGCUAAUCUUCGGAGUGAAGCUGUGGCAGAUUGCCAGGAAGAGGAUAAGACUGCUGCAUCCGGUAGGAUUAUGACAUCUGCGACUUCUGUUUCAUACCCCGCUGAUCCGGAUGCCAAGAGCUCUCAAGUCUUAUCUGAAAGCGUUGUGUCUGAGUCUGUUGGUUAUGUUAUAAGAGACUCCGCAUCCAAGCUGGUGGAGUCAAAUUCUCAGUCUGACACCAUUCCAAUAGACAAAUCAGGGACAAUGAUUGACGGUAAAGAAUGUGAAGCAUUUCCUCUCAAACCUGAAGAAUCGCAACAUCUAAGCCAAGAUGGAGCACCUGCUGUCAGUCUUACAUCUUCAGUAGAUUUACAUAUGGUGACCACAUCAUCUGAGGCUAAUGAGCAAGUCAAUUUCUCUGUAACCGGGAAGGUUUCAUCUGCCGAACCUGAAAAUUGUCAAACUGUUCCACCCGUGGAAGCAAGUAAUUCAGGGGGUCCUAUUGUACAACAACCUAGGAAGCAGACUGAAGAUACUCACCAAAGUACACAAUUUGUCGAAGGCUGUCCUGCCUCUGAAGGGCCAAAGGAUGCAGUAGAUGCUGAUGCCGCUGGACAAGUUUUGCCUCAGCAGUGUGAGGGAAGAAUUUUAGAAGAAAAUCUAGCAGAAGUUGUAAACGUCCCUGAGUUUCAGUCAGUUCUGGACAACGAUGCCAUAAAUGAAAACCCUAGCGCUAGCCCCUUGGCUAUGACUGCUGCCGGUGGGAUUAUGACAGCUGCGACUCCUGUUUCACACCCCACAGGUGGUGUAAUUGAAAUAGGAGUGUCCUGUGCUUCUACAAGUUCUGAGCCUUUUGUAAAGUCCCAUGUUGCUGGAACUGAAAACGCUGCUACAAAUUUAGGGUCUCCUGUCAUUUCUUCCCCAGCUCGUAAGAUGACCGAACUACAACUUAAUAAGACAGAGGAUCAGAAUACUUUGAGUUUGAUGGCUACCGAAUCUCCGGUCUUGAAUAGAAACCCGACCUUCAGCAGUGGGCUGAACUUGACUUCCGAUCCAAGGAAAGCAGUGGAAAUUUCCGAAACUACCCUUGUCUCUCCGAUAGUGGUGGGAUCUCCGUCUAAAUCUAGCUUAGAGAAAACAGCUGCGAAGUCUUCGAAAAGAAAAUCUGAGCGUAAACCCAGGCGAACACCUAAAUCUGCAGGAAAAGAGACUUCUAGAAAAGGAAAUAGUGUAAAGGGGGCUGCACCUUUUCAACAUUUUCAAAGUGCAGGCAAAGCAAAUGCUGUUAAUCAGAAUUCUGGUUCUUCUACUCAAAUCACACACUCUACUGAGAAACAGCAAAGUCUUCAGACUCCUGUUCUUAAUUCGUUUGGUACCCUUUCAGCCCCCACGACUAGUCUACCGGAUAUGAAUUCGACUGCUCCCUCAAGCAUUUUUCGUCGACCUUUCACUGACUCGCAACAAGUGCAACUACGUGCACAGAUUUUUGUUUACGGUGGUCUGAUCCAAGGGACAGCACCCGAUGAAGCGUAUAUGAUAUCUGCAUUUGGUGGUGCAGAUGGUGGGAGAGGCACUUGGGAGAAAGCAUGGCGUGCUUGUGCUGUAAGGGCUCAGAGAAUGCGUGUUUCUAGUCCUGAAACGCCAUUGCAAUCACGUGCAGGGAAGACAGAGACCCCGUCAAUGAGUCACACCAGUAGCAAAGCGAGUUCAGCGACGAAACCCAUAAUUCCACUCUCAUCACCUUUAUGGAGUUUGUCAACUCCCCUCGAAACUUUACAAUCAAGAAGCAUUCAGAGAGGUUCAGCUGCUGCACCACUGCCUUCUUCAUCACAUGCUCAUCAAGCUGCAUCGGUUACGAAUAUUGGACAUAAUACGGCUUGGAUGUCCCCUCUCCCUUACCCCAACCCGUGGCUUGCUUCUCCGCAGACCAGUGGGUUCGAUGUUGGUUCUCGUUUCCCCGUUUUCCCGAUCACCGAAUCUGUAAAAUUGACACCCACAAAAGAAUCGUCCUUGCCUUACUCUGGCGGUAAGCAUGUUCUGAGUGGAACUUCUGGCAAUAUUUUCAAAGGGACACAAACACUUGAGCCAGCCAGUACAGUUGUAGCACCUGCUCAACACUCCACUGGGACGAAAUCAAGGAAACGGAAGAAAAUGCCAGUCUCUGUGGAGUCUGAUCCAAGCAUUUUGAAUUCGCUACAGCAGACAGAAGUAGUUGUCUCACCUCUUGUUUCUAUAUCAACACCUGUACCUAUUACAGCUGCUCCGGGUAGUCUGACUUCUAACGCAGGCACCCUGCCCAGUGUUGAUUCCAUCUCUGCAGUCCCUAUGAACCUGGUAUCUACGUUCCCUGGAAAGAAAAUGAAAUCAUCUUUGCAAUCCCCAAUUUUUGGUGGUAACCUUGUAUCUGAAGUUAAGCAGAGAUCUGUGUUACCGGCAGAUACCAUUGAUAAGCUUAAUGAGGCUAAGAUGCAUGCAGAGGAUGCUUCUGCUCUCGCUACUGCAGCCGUUAGUCACAGCGAAUACGUAUGGAAGCAGAUAGAGCAACAGAGGCAUGCUGGCCUCCAGCCAGAAACUCAAGGCAGAUUAGCUUCCGCUGCUGUUGCCAUAGCUGCUGCCGCUGCAGUGGCAAAGGCUGCAGCUGCCGCCGCCAAUGUCGCAGCUAAUGCGGCAUUUCAGGCAAAAUUAAUGGCUGAAGAAGCAUCCCUUCCUAGUGUUUCUUAUCAGGGUAAUGAACUCCACAAGUCAAAUGAUGUACUAACUCAAGGCCAGGGUACCCCUGCUUCUGUCUUGAAGGGUGAAGGUGCAGUGGUCAGCUCCAGUCCGUUCCUUAGUGCUGCCAGAGAGGCGGCUAAGAAGAGGGUCGAGGCUGCCACAGCGGCCACCAAACGAGCUGAAAAUGUGGAGUCCAUUGUUAAGGCAGCAGAACUGGCAUCAGAGGCGGUUUCACAAGCUGGAAUACUUGUUUCAAUGGGUCAUCCUCCGUCGCUCAAUAAGCUGGUGGAGGUGGGUCCAAGUAAUUAUUGGAGGCAGGCUCAAGAAUCUGAGAAAGUGCAGCCUUGUAAAGUGGGUGUAUUAGAAAAAGAAACUGAGACUACUAGUGAUAGAGGUUUUGCUAGUCCCAGCACUGCGCAUACUGAGUUGGAUGGCUCCGCGAGAACAGCUGAUGGUCUAGGUCUAGGUCUAGGUCUAGGUCUAGGUCUAGGUCUAGUUUCUGCCACUGGAAAGAAAACAAAUGGACAGAAAGGUCAUAUAAGUGCAGACGUGGCUAAACACACUGCUGGAGUUUUCGAGCCAGAAGUUGGGUCAAAAUCUUCGAUUGACACCCAGACUGAAAGUGAGCAGAUUAUGAGAAAAGCAAACGACGAGUGCAUCAAGGAAGGUUCUCAUGUAGAGGUUUUCAAGGAAGGACCUGAAUUAAGAACCGCAUGGUACUCUGCCAAUGUAUUGAGCUUAGAGGAUGGGAAAGCUUAUGUGCUGUUCAGUGACCUUUCUGUAGAACAAGGAACAGAUAAGCUGAAGGAGUGGGUAGCCCUCAAAGGUGAAGGUGAUGAGGCCCCGAAAAUAAGAACUGCUCGUUCUAUUACUGCCCUGCCAUAUGAAGGAACCAGGAAGAGGCGCAGAGCUGCCAUUGGGGAUCCUGUUUGGAAACUUGGAGAUAGGGUAGACUCGUGGGUUCAUGACAGUUGGUUGGAGGGUGUUAUCACGGAGAAGAACAAAAAUGAUGAAAAUACAGUGACUGUGCAUUUUCCAGCACAAGGAGAGACUUUGACUAUCAAAGCUUGGAAUCUUCGUCCUUCUCUUGUAUGGAAAGAUGGAAGGUGGAUUGAAUGUUCUACUUCAGGAGAAAGCAUCAGCUCGUCACAUGAGGGUGAUACUCCAAAGGAGAAGCGUCCUAGACUAGGAGCUCCAGCUCCUGUGGCUGAAGGAAAAGACACGAAAAUGGAAACUGCCGUUGAUCCGGAUUUAGGCAAACCGCCUCAGACUGGUGUUCUUGACCUCGGUGUUUCAGAGACUACAUUUAACAUCGGGAGAAAGGAGGGCAAUCCUGGUCCACUCCGAAUGAAGAGAACCGGUUUGCAAACGCAGGGAGCAAAAGUGAUCUAUGGUGUCCCUAAACCUGGAAAGACAAGGAAGUUCAUGGACGUGAGCAAACAUUACGUUUCAGAGGCGAGCAAUCAAACUCGGAAACAGAAGGAACCAGCUAAGGCUGUGAAACCAAUUGUGCCCCAAAAUCCAGGACCAGGGAGCUGGAGAUUGCCUUCUAAACCGAGAGAAAAACAGACAACAACAACAACGAAGCCCAAGACUUUCAAACCUGCGCCCAAGACCAAAGAGAAGCCGGUUGCUGCACCUAGGAUAAUUCCCCGCAAGGACUCUCGUAAUACAACAUCCUUAAAUAUGGAAUCUGAAGAUGCCGUUGGUCAGAGUGGAGAGAACAAAGGUCCUGCAUCAACUUCCAGGGAUCCAGCCAAGGGAACAGGGGAAGAGCAAAUCACAUCAUCUUCACAAGGCCAAGAUAGUUCCUCCUCGACCACUACUGGGAAAGGGAAAGUGGCUCCUACUGCAGGGAGGUUACCCAAGAUUGAAGAGGCCAAGGCGUUGGAUGAUAAUUCUUCAAAAGCAUCAGAUGGAAUGGAACCACGUAGGUCUGUCCGCAGGAUUCAGCCAACUUCUAGACUACUUGAAGGUCUGCAAACAUCCAUGAUGACCUCAAAGAUUCCUUCCAUGUCACACAGCAGAAGUCACCAAAGUCAAAGGAAACAGUAACUCUAGAGGCAAGUAGGUAAUGGAAGGAGCAAAAGCUAAGAAAAGAAAGAGGCAGUCUCUGCUGCUGUUAGGGUCCUAAAUUUAAUAUCGAGCUCUGAGAAAAAUACUUUCGUUGUUGGCUAGGGAGAGAUGAUAUGUUAUUGUAGGUGUGAUUAUGAUUUUUAAGUUAGAUUAUAUCUCAGUCUGUGUGACUCAGAGAGGUAAGACAACUGUUGUUUGAAUAAAACAACUGUUUUAUUAUUGCCAAGUACCGUCAUCUUCCCUGACU
This is an RNA transcript of Brassica napus (rape), 7333 nucleotides long. RefSeq lists it as uncharacterized. The transcript has 19 exons. NCBI's taxonomy places the organism in Eukaryota, Viridiplantae, Streptophyta, Magnoliopsida, Brassicales, Brassicaceae. The record is from RefSeq and is a predicted model, not a curated record.